This 477-nucleotide ribosomal RNA is filed under the name uncultured bacterium. RNAcentral describes it as "bacterial SSU rRNA". It matches the Rfam family "Bacterial small subunit ribosomal RNA", at positions 26 to 507 of the family's 1533-position model. The record is from RNAcentral.
AGGACGAACGCUGGCGGCGUGCCUAACACAUGCAAGUCGAGCGGGGUUGAAGCGAGGGGUAACUCGGACUUCUACCUAGCGGCGGACGGGUGAGUAACGCGUGGGCAACCUGCCUCAAGGUUUGGGAUAACAGCUCGAAAGGGCUGCUAAUACCGGAUAUGCCUGUGGCCUCGCAUGGGGCUAUGAGCAAAGGGGAAACCCGCCUUGAGAUGGGCCCGCGUCCCAUCAGCUAGUUGGUGAGGUGAAGGCUCACCAAGGCGACGACGGGUAGCCGGCCUGAGAGGGUGACCGGCCACACUGGGACUGAGACACGGCCCAGACUCCUACGGGGGGCAGCAGUGGGGGAUCUUGCACAAUGGGCGAAAGCCUGAUGCAGCGACGCCGCGUGAGCGAAGAAGGCCUUCGGGUUGUAAAGCUCUGUCUGGAGGGACGAAACAAAUGACGGUACCUCCGGAGGAAGCCACGGCUAACUACGUG